CCUACGGGUGGCUGCAGUGGGGAAUUUUGGACAAUGGGGGCAACCCUGAUCCAGCCAUGCCGCGUGCGGGAAGAAGGCCUUCGGGUUGUAAACCGCUUUCGGCCGGAACGAAAUCGCCGGGGAGAACAUCCCCGGUGGAUGACGGUACCGGAAGAAGCAGCACCGGCUAACUACGUGCCAGCAGCCGCGGUAAUACGUAGGGUGCGAGCGGUGAUCGGAGCGUCUGGGGGUAAAGCGCUAACACAGAUGUGAAAUCCCCGGGCUUAACCUGGGAACUGCGUUUGUGACUGGCGGGCUGGAGUGCGGAAGAGGGAGGUGGAAUUCCACGUGUAGCAGUGAAAUGCGUAGAGAUGUGGAGGAACACCGAUGGCGAAGGCAGCCUCCUGGUCUAGCACUGACGCUCAUGCACGAAAGCGUGGGGAGCAAACAGGAUUAGAUACCCGGGUAGUC
RNAcentral lists this ribosomal RNA (450 nucleotides) under uncultured bacterium. RNAcentral's name for it is "partial 16S ribosomal RNA". It matches the Rfam family "Bacterial small subunit ribosomal RNA", at positions 338 to 795 of the family's 1533-position model. The record is from RNAcentral.